RNAcentral lists this unclassified non-coding RNA (228 nucleotides) under Hevea brasiliensis (rubber tree). The record is from RNAcentral. Lineage: Eukaryota; Viridiplantae; Streptophyta; Magnoliopsida; Malpighiales; Euphorbiaceae.
AAAAAAAAAAAAACUCAUUAUUACAUUUGAAAGGCUAAAAGGGGAAAAGAAAUCUAAUCCUAGUGUCUGAGAGUUUAAGUAAAAAUAAGUUCAGUGCCAAGUCAUGAAACUGCGCUACUUCAAACUGCAAGUGUCUGCUAAUGCACUAAACACGCAAUCAACAUUCUUUUGUUUCCAAAGUAUUAUGGUUAGUCAGAAUCACACCUGAGUCAUAAGGUAGCCCCAGAA